GUGGGGAAUCUUCCGCAAUGGACGAAAGUCUGACGGAGCAACGCCGCGUGAGUGAAGAAGGUUUUCGGAUCGUAAAGCUCUUUCGUUAGGGACGAACGUGCUCUUUGUGAAUAAUGAGGAGUAAUGACGGUACCUAAAUAAGAAGCCACGGCUAACUACGUGCCAGCAGCCGCGGUAAUACGUAGGUGGCAAGCGUUGUCCGGAAUUAUUGGGCGUAAAGCGCGCGCAGGCGGGAUAUCAAGUCUGUCUUAAAAGUGCGAGGCUCAACCUCGUGAGGGGACAGAAACUGGUAUUCUUGAGUGUCGGAGAGGAAAGUGGAAUUCCAAGUGUAGCGGUGAAAUGCGUAGAGAUUUGGAAGAACACCAGUGGCGAAGGCGGCUUUCUGGACGGUGUCUGACACUGAGGCGCGAAAGCCAGGGGAGCGAACGGGAUUAGAAACCCGGGUAGUCC
RNAcentral lists this ribosomal RNA (450 nucleotides) under uncultured bacterium. RNAcentral's name for it is "partial 16S ribosomal RNA". It matches the Rfam family "Bacterial small subunit ribosomal RNA", at positions 354 to 796 of the family's 1533-position model. The record is from RNAcentral.